This 431-nucleotide ribosomal RNA is filed under the name uncultured bacterium. Its description in RNAcentral is "bacterial SSU rRNA". It matches the Rfam family "Bacterial small subunit ribosomal RNA", at positions 355 to 786 of the family's 1533-position model. The record is from RNAcentral.
UGAGGAAUAUUGGUCAAUGGUCGCUAGACUGAACCAGCCAAGUAGCGUGCGGGAUGAAGGCCCUCCGGGUCGUAAACCGCUUUUAGACGGGGAUAAAAGGGCGUACGUGUACGCCGUAUUGCAUGUACCGUCAGAAAAAGGACCGGCUAAUUCCGUGCCAGCAGCCGCGGUAAUACGGAAGGUCCGGCGUUAUCCGGAUUAUUGGUUUAAAGGAGCGUAGGCGGACUUUCAAGUCAGUGGUAAAAUCGUGUGGCUCAACCAUACCUCGCCAUUGAAACUGGAAGUCUGGAGUGCACACAGGGGUGCCGGAAUUCAUGGUGUAGCGGUGAAAUGCUUAGAUAUCAUGAAGAACUCCGAUCGCGAAGGCAAGUGCCCGGGGUGCAACUGACGCUGAGGCUCGAAGGUGCGGGUAUCGAACAGGAUUAGAUACC